RNAcentral lists this ribosomal RNA (473 nucleotides) under uncultured organism. RNAcentral's name for it is "partial 16S ribosomal RNA". It matches the Rfam family "Bacterial small subunit ribosomal RNA", at positions 334 to 798 of the family's 1533-position model. The record is from RNAcentral.
CACUCCUACGGGAGGCAGCAGUGGGGAAUAUUGCACAAUGGGCGCAAGCCUGAUGCAGCCAUGCCGCGUGUAUGAAGAAGGCCUUCGGGUUGUAAAGUACUUUCAGCGGGGAGGAAGGCGAUAAGGUUAAUAACCUUGUUGAUUGACGUUACCCGCAGAAGAAGCACCGGCUAACUCCGUGCCAGCAGCCGCGGUAAUACGGAGGGUGCAAGCGUUAAUCGGAAUUACUGGGCGUAAAGCGCACGCAGGCGGUCUGUCAAGUCGGAUGUGAAAUCCCCGGGCUCAACCUGGGAACUGCAUUCGAAACUGGCAGGCUAGAGUCUUGUAGAGGGGGGUAGAAUUCCAGGUGUAGCGGUGAAAUGCGUAGAGAUCUGGAGGAAUACCGGUGGCGAAGGCGGCCCCCUGGACAAAGACUGACGCUCAGGUGCGAAAGCGUGGGGAGCAAACAGGAUUAGAUACCCGUGUAGUCCCAU